GAGGGUAUAGCUCAGUGGUUGAGUGAAGGCCUUUCAUGCCUGAGGUCCUGGGUUUAAUCCCCAGUACCUCCA
This 72-nucleotide transfer RNA is filed under the name Vicugna pacos (alpaca). RNAcentral's name for it is "tRNA-Glu (TTC) (tRNA-Glu-TTC-6-1)". It matches the Rfam family "tRNA". Rfam says of the family: Transfer RNA (tRNA) molecules are approximately 80 nucleotides in length. Their secondary structure includes four short double-helical elements and three loops (D, anti-codon, and T loops). The record is from Rfam by way of RNAcentral. Lineage: Eukaryota; Metazoa; Chordata; Mammalia; Artiodactyla; Camelidae.